Long non-coding RNA from Populus trichocarpa (black cottonwood), 1201 nucleotides. RefSeq lists it as uncharacterized. NCBI's taxonomy places the organism in Eukaryota, Viridiplantae, Streptophyta, Magnoliopsida, Malpighiales, Salicaceae. The record is from RefSeq and is a predicted model, not a curated record. The transcript has 2 exons.
AGUUGAUUGUUCGGGUAAUCACUCUCCUCAAAUGUGAUGCUGAAAUACUUCAUCUUGACAAAUCUGCCAAAGUAGCUGACGAUCACCAUCGGUGGUAGCUCGCUGUUAAGUAAUGUUGUUAUGAUCCAAUAAUUGUUGAUUGGCAUGUCGGCAACACGAUCAAAUUCAAUCUGGGAACUAAUAACUUCUGUCAACGCUUGACAAAUUUUGGCUACAUGACUAUCGACAGACAACACGGCAACGUUGUCUAAUAAGUAACAGCUUAAUUAUAAACGGGGCAAUGACUAUCACGACCACAAAUAUGAUCACCAAAGGAAAAUUGUGUUAUUCUUGAAAAGAAAAAGGCUGCAAUGGAAAAGCUGGAUGUGACAAGCUAGUGGAUUGUGCAAUGCGGUACAGCAAAAUCAGGUUCGAUUCAAAGAAUUGAAUAUAAAGGAGCAAUGCACAAGAUAGACAAAUUUCCGCAUUUCUGUGAAUAGCUUCGAGCCAUGACUACGUUAUCCAAGGAAAUAACAAGCUGGGUCAGCUUGAAAAAACCAAGGCUUUCACAAGGUCAAAAGGGUGUGUGACGGUGAAUGCUAGAAGUUUAAAGAUGGUGUCUACAAAGGAAAGUAAAGAAGAGAUUCACUGGAACCAAUUACCAGAGCUCUCUAUUUUAUGAUCAUUCAUCCAUAUCUUAUCAUUGUCUUUUUCCUUCUUUUCCUUUCCGAGUUGAAAUACACUACAGUCCAUUGCUUCUAACUAUCAAAAGCAAAGAACAAAGCAGCAGCAAAGACAUUACAAACAAAAUCAAAAGAUUUUGUCCCCCAAUUUCAGCAUUUUCUUUGCCUUUCAACUCUUUCCCUUUUAGUGCUUGAUUUUUUUUUAUUGGAGCUAAUUGCAUCUAAAUCCCCCUUUAAUCUCCCCUUGUGACUUCUUUAUUUGGUUAAUGCGGCUUGUUCUUGUACUUUCUGUUCGGAUCUUCUUUUUCUAGAUUAAUCCUCCCCUCCCCUCAAGCCCCGAGUCCACUGCACGGUGGAGAAAAUGAACUGAGGGAAGGUAACAUACUACAGCUUGAAGCGCUCCCCAUUUCCUUGAUAGAUCUUCCAGGACGAUUAGCACAUGCAAGAAGAUAAACUUGGAAAAACAUACGAGUGUAACAUGCUUUGAUUUAGUGCAAAAUCUUCGAAGUAUCGCCAUGUAUUGAAUGGCAAUUACCAGA